Molecule: long non-coding RNA, 481 nt
Organism: Vidua chalybeata
Lineage: Eukaryota; Metazoa; Chordata; Aves; Passeriformes; Viduidae
Exons: 3
Source: RefSeq, a predicted model, not a curated record
GCCCUGCUCCUCUUGGCACAGCACAGUCCUCAGUGGUGCUGUACACUGAAGAGAUGGUUUCACUGAACAGGAGACUGUGUGGCCACGCUCACACUGAACACACAAGGAGCGUGGAGGAUGUCUCUGAGUUCACUGAUAAACUGAAAACUGAGUUGUUCCAGACCCCACCCAACACCUGGACCCAGCCCCCAGUGCUGCUCCUGGAUGGCAAGGGCAGCCCCUUCCUUCCACACUCCCCAGAAAAGGGAGCACAGGAGAUCUGGGGGUGAACUGAAGCUCCACCUUCUCCAUCCCUCUCUGGUGGCUUUGCUGCAAGACUGCACUUGCACUUCCUUUUCCACGAGGUCUUGGCAGUAGAUGGAAAGCAAUCAAAGUCCCAUUUGAAGCAGCCAUCUGUUUACUGUCUUCAUCUACAAAAUCACCUGUCAAAUUUUACUGUUGCCUCCAGGGGGGAAAAAAGCCAAUCCCAAGUGCCUCUGUG